AUUGAACGCUGGCGGCAUGCCUUGCACAUGCAAGUCGAGCGGCAGCACGGGUGCUUGCACCUGGUGGCGAGUGGCGAACGGGUGAGUAAUACAUCGGAACAUGUCCUGUAGUGGGGGAUAGCCCGGCGAAAGCCGGAUUAAUACCGCAUACGAUCUACGGAUGAAAGCGGGGGACCUUCGGGCCUCGCGCUAUAGGGUUGGCCGAUGGCUGAUUAGCUAGUUGGUGGGGUAAAGGCCUACCAAGGCGACGAUCAGUAGCUGGUCUGAGAGGACGACCAGCCACACUGGGACUGAGACACGGCCCAGACUCCUACGGGAGGCAGCAGUGGGGAAUGUUGGACAAUGGGCGAAAGCCUGAUCCAGCAAUGCCGCGUGUGUGAAGAAGGCCUUCGGGUUGUAAAGCACUUUUGUCCGGAAAGAAAUCCUUGGCCCUAAUACGGUCGGGGGAUGACGGUACCGGAAGAAUAAGCACCGGCUAACUACGUG
RNAcentral lists this ribosomal RNA (486 nucleotides) under uncultured bacterium. Its description in RNAcentral is "partial 16S ribosomal RNA". It matches the Rfam family "Bacterial small subunit ribosomal RNA", at positions 29 to 507 of the family's 1533-position model. The record is from RNAcentral.